AGCGAAGUACGGCGGGCACGCCGUACGUACAGCCGCCAUGGCAGUAUCGGAUAUAGCCGGAGUACAGGAUGACCGCCCCGUAAGCCGUUACGUAAGGCCCGUAA
RNAcentral lists this non-coding RNA (104 nucleotides) under unclassified sequences. Its description in RNAcentral is "cow-rumen-2 RNA". It matches the Rfam family "cow-rumen-2 RNA". Rfam says of the family: cow rumen metagenome. Environment (Cow rumen (57)) The record is from Rfam by way of RNAcentral.